This 475-nucleotide ribosomal RNA is filed under the name uncultured organism. RNAcentral describes it as "partial 16S ribosomal RNA". It matches the Rfam family "Bacterial small subunit ribosomal RNA", at positions 331 to 797 of the family's 1533-position model. The record is from RNAcentral.
GUACACUCCUGCGGGAGGCAGCAGUGGGGAAUUUUGGACAAUGGGCGAAAGCCUGAUCCAGCAAUGCCGCGUGAGUGAAGAAGGCCUUCGGGUUGUAAAGCUCUUUUGUCAGGGAAGAAACGGUGAGAGCUAAUAUCUCUUGCUAAUGACGGUACCUGAAGAAUAAGCACCGGCUAACUACGUGCCAGCAGCCGCGGUAAUACGUAGGGUGCAAGCGUUAAUCGGAAUUACUGGGCGUAAAGCGUGCGCAGGCGGUUUUGUAAGUCUGAUGUGAAAUCCCCGGGCUCAACCUGGGAAUUGCAUUGGAGACUGCAAGGCUAGAAUCUGGCAGAGGGGGGUAGAAUUCCACGUGUAGCAGUGAAAUGCGUAGAUAUGUGGAGGAACACCGAUGGCGAAGGCAGCCCCCUGGGUCAAGAUUGACGCUCAUGCACGAAAGCGUGGGGAGCAAACAGGAUUAGAAACCCGUGUAGUCCCA